RNAcentral lists this ribosomal RNA (345 nucleotides) under Mantidactylus grandidieri (Grandidier's Madagascar frog). RNAcentral's name for it is "partial 12S ribosomal RNA". It matches the Rfam family "Bacterial small subunit ribosomal RNA", at positions 871 to 1380 of the family's 1533-position model. The record is from RNAcentral. Lineage: Eukaryota; Metazoa; Chordata; Amphibia; Anura; Mantellidae.
GCSAGGGAAUUACNAGCACAAGCUUAAAACCCAAAGGAUUUGACGGUGUCCCAUCCCCCUAGAGGAGCCUGUUCUAUAAUCGAUGAUCCUCGAUAUACCUCACCAUUUUUUGCUUUUUUCAGCCUGUAUACCUCCGUCGCAAGCUUACCAUUURAAUGCCCCAAAGUAAGUUCAACGGGCCCCCCCGCCAAUACKUCAGGUCAAGGUGCASCCAAUAAAAUGGAAAGCAAUGGGCUACAAUUUCUAACAUARAACAAACRAAAAACUACWUGAAACAUAGUCAUGAAGGCGGAUUUAGUAGUAAAAAAARACUAGCNAGCUUCUUUUAACAAAAGGCCCCGGGAC